Small nucleolar RNA from Onychomys torridus (southern grasshopper mouse), 74 nucleotides. RefSeq annotates it as small nucleolar RNA SNORD26. The transcript has a single exon. The record is from RefSeq and is a predicted model, not a curated record. NCBI's taxonomy places the organism in Eukaryota, Metazoa, Chordata, Mammalia, Rodentia, Cricetidae.
CUGCAGGGAUGAUUUAAAACCUGACUCUCUCCCUGAUGGUGCAGUGGAGAAAAGAGAAAACUUUUCUGAGUAAA